RNAcentral lists this ribosomal RNA (1140 nucleotides) under Corynebacterium coyleae. RNAcentral describes it as "bacterial LSU rRNA". It matches the Rfam family "Bacterial large subunit ribosomal RNA", at positions 1 to 1086 of the family's 2925-position model. Lineage: Bacteria; Bacillati; Actinomycetota; Actinomycetes; Mycobacteriales; Corynebacteriaceae. The record is from RNAcentral.
UUGUUGUUUUGUGUUACGGGCGUAUGGUGGAUGCCUUGGCAUGCUGGGCCGAUGAAGGACGUGUGAGGCUGCGUUAAGCCUCGGGGAGUUGCCAACAGUGCGUUGAUCCGAGGAUGUCCGAAUGGGGAAACCCAACACCAGUUGUGUGGUGUUACCUGCAGGUGAAUGCAUAGCCUGUGUGGAGGUGACGUGGGGAAGUGAAACAUCUCAGUACCCACAGGAGAAGAAAACAAUUUGUGAUUCCGUGUGUAGUGGCGAGCGAUAGCGGAUGAGGCUAAACCGUGUGCGUGUGAUACCUGGGUAGGGGUUGCGUGUGCGGUGUUGUGGGGUGUGAUCGUUGCGGGCUACCUGACCGCAAGAUGGUGUGUGUGCGUUAGCGGAAACGUCUGGGAUGGCGUGCCGGAGCGGGUGAUUAGCCCCGUACGUGAAGGCGUUGCAUGCAUUGUCUGAUCAUGUUUUCCCCGAGUAGCAGCGGGCUCGUGAAAUCUGCUGUGAAUCUGCCGGGACCACCCGGUAAGCCUAAAUACCCAGUGUGACCGAUAGUGAAUAGUACCGUGAGGGAAUGGUGAAAAGUACCCCGGGAGGGGAGUGAAAGAGUUCCUGAAACCAUGCGCUUACAAUCCGUCAGAGCACCGUUUGUGUGUGAUGGCGUGCCUUUUGAAGAAUGAGCCUGCGAGUCAGCGGCAUGUCGCGAGGUUAACCCGUUAUGUGGGGUAGUCGUAGCGAAAGCGAAUCCUAAGAGGGUGUCAAGUGGCAUGUCCUGGACCCGAAGCGGGGUGAUCUACCCAUGGCCAGUGUGAAGCAGCUGUAAGAGGUUGUGGAGGCGCGAACCCACUUAGGUUGAAAACUGAGGGGAUGAGCUGUGGGUAGGGGUGAAAGGCCAAUCAAACUCCGUGAUAGCUGGUUCUCCCCGAAAUGCAUUUAGGUGCAGCGUGAUGUGUGCUUACCGGAGGUAGAGCUACUGGAUGGCCGAGCGGGACUAUCAUCUUAGUGACGUCAGCCAAACUCCGAAUGCCGGUGAAGUUUGAGCAUUGCAGUGAGACUGUGGGGGAUAAGCUUCAUAGUCGAGAGGGAAACAGCCCAGAUCGCCGGUUAAGGCCCCUAAGGGUGUGCUAAGUGGAAAAGGAUGUGGGAUCGCGA